RNAcentral lists this long non-coding RNA (1176 nucleotides) under Geospiza fortis (medium ground-finch). RNAcentral describes it as "lncRNA (ENSGFOG00000014326.1)". Lineage: Eukaryota; Metazoa; Chordata; Aves; Passeriformes; Thraupidae. The record is from RNAcentral.
AUGGAGCAGUGUGGAAUAAGGAGCUGCUGCCUGGGGCCAUCACAGCUGCCUGGGGACAGGAAUAGGGCACGUGGGGCUGGCCUGACAGGGCAGGGUGGCACAGAGAGUCCAAGGCCAGUGAAUUCCCCUGGCUGCUCAUCCUGCAGUGCUCUCAGCCCUGGCACACGGUGCCCUGGCUGCCCUUGCCCACAGGCUGGGCUCUGCCUGCUGGGGUUUGGGGCUGUUGCUGAUACCCACAGCCCCUGGCAGCACUCACCUGCAAGCAGGGCUGCUCCAGCCUUGCUCUUUCAUACCCAUGGCUGGGGGUUAGAAGCAGUUGGGCUCUCUCCUGUUGUGGUGCCAGGAGCAGCCCUUGCUGCAUCCAGCCCCCUGCAAGCCAGGAGUAGCAGCCUCCCUCCUCCUGUCUCCAGUCUGGCUCUGAACAGGCCGGUGCCCCACUGCCUGUUUGCCACCUCCUGGCACCGUGCCCUCCUGCCCAGCCACCCAGUGAGGCUCCUGCUCUCAGUGGGGAGCUGUGGGACAGCCUGGGUGCCCUGUGCCCUCUGCCGUGCCCAUGACACCGCUGCAGCUGCUGUGGGGGUCUCACUGGUAGCUCAGGGGGGUCCAGUACUGCCAUUGCCUGUUUGCCUCAGGCUAGGGCCAGGGCUCUGCCCUCACCUUCCUCUGCAGACCCCAGGGCUCUGGCUGGCCUGUGCACAUGCCAAAGCACCCCAGGAGUGCCCAGGUAGGACUCUCUGCCACUCUGGGACAGGGGCUGGCUGUCAGGUGCUGGCAGCAGAAAAGGGACACUUGAUGGCAGCCAGUAUUCCAGCCUCGGGCAGUGUCACCUCCCAGCCCCACCAGCACCAGGGCAGGGCUGCUCCACAAGCUGGCAGGGUGCUGUGGCUCAGGCACUGGCUGUGUGUGUGCCCCUGGGUGCAGGGGAGAGGCAGAGGCUGCAGCCAGAGGGCUGCCUGCCCCAGGGCCAGCCCUGACACAGCUUCCCUGCCACUGCCACCCCACAGAGCCCCUUGCUGCACACAGCUCCCUUGGGAAGGGGGUCCAGCCUGGUUCCCCACACUGCCCAGUCCAAGCCCCUCGGGGUGCAGCCAUGGGAACAGCCCAGCCCAGAGCCCCCUUCUUUCACAGUCCCACAGCACUGAUGUGAGCUCCAGCACUGCAGCCUGCAGGCACUGA